Molecule: RNA transcript, 1965 nt
Organism: Dioscorea cayenensis subsp. rotundata (Guinea yam)
Lineage: Eukaryota; Viridiplantae; Streptophyta; Magnoliopsida; Dioscoreales; Dioscoreaceae
Gene name: protein MOS2-like
Exons: 3
Source: RefSeq, a predicted model, not a curated record
AUAAACGAGCCAAACCCUAGAAUUAUUCAUCAAAGAAUCCCAAAUUCUCUCUCAGAUCGCAAAGAUGAAGCUCUCCUUCUCCAUCCCUUCCAAAACCUCCGCCGUCUCUACAACUUCUCAAGCCUUCUCCGACGAUCACCGCACCACCGAUUCCGAUCCCAAGCCCGAGUACUUCACCGUCUUUGAUGGCUCCCAACCCCUCCCCACUGUGUCUCCCUCCCUCGUCAUCCCCCCGAUCCCCAACUCCGACUUCCGUGCCGCUAAGAAGAUGAAGAACCUCAUCCCUCCUCCUGUCUCUGCUGACCCAGAUGUCACCUCCGAUACCCAAUUCGUCCUUGACACCUCCGGUGCUGAUGCUCCCGCGGGAUCCAUCCCCUACGGUCUUACGAUCAGGGAAUCAAAGCUCAAGGAUGAAUCGGAGGAGCGGGAUCCUCAGUUGGCCGAGCUCCGGCGGUUCCGAGAAGAUAUCAAGAGCCUGCCAGCGGACCGCGGGAUGGAGGAGUUUGCCGAUGUUUCUGUUGAGAAUUUCGCCGCUGCGGUGCUCGCCGGAUAUGGAUGGAAAGAGGGCAUGGGAAUAGGAAGAGGGAAUAAGGAAGAUGUUAAAGUGGUCCAGUAUGAUCGGCGGCAGGGGAAGGAGGGGCUUGGCUAUGAUCCUUCAUCUGCAAAGGAUGCAAAGAAGAAGAAGGACCAGAAAGUGACCGUCAAAGAGGAAAAAAUUGUUAGGGUAAUAGAUGGGAAGCAUAUGGGGUUGAAGGGCAAGAUUGUAGAGGCGUUUGAGAAGAUGGACUCGGGUUCUCCAAAAGUUGUGGUUUUGAAGUUGUUGGACAGUGGAGAGGAGGUUAGACUUGGUGGAGAUAUGAUUGCGGAGCUGGGAUCAGUGGAGGAAGAGAAGUGCUUGAGGAAAUUGAAGGAGUUGGAUAUUCGGAGGAGGGAUGAGAAGAAGAGUAGGGAUAGAAGGAGGGAGGAGAAGAGAAGUAGGGAUGGAGAAAGGGAGGCCACUAAUGGGGAGCUUGCUAAGAGUUCAAAUCAAGGCAGGAAGAGCAAUGAGAAGGAAAGGGUGCCGGUCCAGUGGCUCAGAAGUCAUAUUAAGGUGAGGAUUAUCAGUAAAGACUUUAAAAAAGGGAAAUAUUACCUCAAAAAAGGGAAGGUUGUGGAUGUUGUUGGGCCUAUGCGGUGUGAUAUUUCAAUGGAUGACAAUGGUGAACUAGUCCAGGGUGUGCAUCAGGACAUGUUGGAGACGGCAAUACCCAAGCGGGGAGGCUCGGUACUCGUGUUGUAUGGUAGGCAUGAGGGUGUCUAUGGUAGAUUGGAGGAGAGGAACACAGAGAAGGAGACUGGUGUUGUCAGGGAUGCGGACAGUCAUGUUUUGAUUAAUGUGAAUUUGGAGCAGAUUGCUGAAUAUGUUGGUGAUCCAAGCUACAUUGGUUAUUGAAUGUACUGUAGAUAUUACUGCUCAGCGGCCUUCUUUAAGGUUCUUUGGGAGAAUUUCCGGCAUGUCACUUGGCAGCUGGUUGGCAAGAGUGAACACUAUCGACUCAAAAGAUUUACAUGUUCGGGCAAAUUGAAUGACCUGGCAGAAAACUCUAGGGAGUACUUAGUGAAAGAGUGAAAGUGGGACGAUGAGUGUUUUUGGAAGUAGGCAUUGGAGCAUCAGUGUAUUGACACAGGAUGAGUGAUAAGAUUUCUCUCAGAGUCUCCAAUUUCAGUACUUGGUGAAAACGGUGAGCUGAAAUGUUCUUAGAAGUGGAGACUGGAGGAUCAGUCUGUAUAGCUUUAUUACAUGCCAUCCUAUUAACUUAAAAAUAGACAGAUUUUUAUGCUUACAAAUGCCAAACGUCUCAGUCAUUCUUCCCUCUUUGUUGCAUAAUCCUAAUCCAAGGUUUAUAGAUUGAGCAAUUGGCAUUACAAGCCAGGAUGGAAAAUCAUGGGGGUUCAAAGUAGGAGUUGUACUCAAACUAUUCAAGA